AACUGAAACAUCUAAGUACCCCGAGGAAAAGAAAUCAACCGAGAUUCCCCCAGUAGCGGCGAGCGAACGGGGAGGAGCCCAGAGCCUGAAUCAGCAUGUGUGUUAGUGGAAGCGUCUGGAAAGGCGCGCGAUACAGGGUGACAGCCCCGUACACAAAAGCGCAUGUGCUGUGAGCUCGAUGAGUAGGGCGGGACACGUGGUAUCCUGUCUGAAUAUGGGGGGACCAUCCUCCAAGGCUAAAUACUCCUGACUGACCGAUAGUGAACCAGUACCGUGAGGGAAAGGCGAAAAGAACCCCGGCGAGGGGAGUGAAAAAGAACCUGAAACCGUGUACGUACAAGCAGUGGGAGCCCCACCACCAAAGCAUUCUCUGGUGUUGAAGGCCCUGCAAAGCAGCAUCGCGGUGGCGGAGCGUCGUUUGCGACGCCCAACACACAAAACAAGCGGUGAGUGCUUUGGGGUGGGGUGACUGCGUACCUUUUGUAUAAUGGGUCAGCGACUUAUAUUCUGUAGCAAGGUUAACCGCAUAGGGGAGCCGGAGGGAAACCGAGUCUUAAUUGGGCGUUAAGUUGCAGGGUAUAGACCCGAAACCCGGUGAUCUAGCCAUGGGCAGGUUGAAGGUUGGGUAACACUAACUGGAGGACCGAACCGACUAAUGUUGAAAAAUUAGCGGAUGACCUGUGGCUGGGGGUGAAAGGCCAAUCAAACCGGGAGAUAGCUGGUUCUCCCCGAAAGCUAUUUAGGUAGCGCCUCGUGAAUUCAUCUCCGGGGGUAGAGCACUGUUUCGGCUAGGGGGCCAUCCCGGCUUACCAACCCGAUGCAAACUGCGAAUACCGGAGAAUGUUAUCACGGGAGACACACGGCGGGUGCUAACGUCCGUCGUGAAGAGGGAAACAACCCAGACCGCCAGCUAAGGUCCCAAAGUCAUGGUUAAGUGGGAAACGAUGUGGGAAGGCCCAGACAGCCAGGAUGUUGGCUUAGAAGCAGCCAUCAUUUAAAGAAAGCGUAAUAGCUCACUGGUCGAGUCGGCCUGCGCGGAAGAUGUAACGGGGCUAAACCAUGCACCGAAGCUGCGGCAGCGACACUGUGUGUUGUUGGGUAGGGGAGCGUUCUGUAAGCCUGUGAAGGUGUGUCGUGAGGCAUGCUGGAGGUAUCAGAAGUGCGAAUGCUGACAUAAGUAACGAUAAAGCGGGUGAAAAGCCCGCUCGCCGGAAGACCAAGGGUUCCUGUCCAACGUUAAUCGGGGCAGGGUGAGUCGACCCCUAAGGCGAGGCCGAAAGGCGUAGUCGAUGGGAAACGGGUUAAUAUUCCCGUACUUGGUGUUACUGCGAAGGGGGGACGGAGAAGGCUAUGUUGGCCGGGCGACGGUUGUCCCGGUUUAAGCGUGUAGGUGUGUGUUCCAGGUAAAUCCGGUUCACUUUAACACUGAGGCGUGACGACGAGGCACUACGGUGCUGAAGCAACAAAUGCCCUGCUUCCAGGAAAAGCCUCUAAGCAUCAGGUAACAUCAAAUCGUACCCCAAACCGACACAGGUGGUCAGGUAGAGAAUACCAAGGCGCUUGAGAGAACUCGGGUGAAGGAACUAGGCAAAAUGGUGCCGUAACUUCGGGAGAAGGCACGCUGACAUGUAGGUGAAGUGAUUUACUCAUGGAGCUGAAGUCAGUCGAAGAUACCAGCUGGCUGCAACUGUUUAUUAAAAACACAGCACUGUGCAAACACGAAAGUGGACGUAUACGGUGUGACGCCUGCCCGGUGCCGGAAGGUUAAUUGAUGGGGUCAGCGCAAGCGAAGCUCCUGAUCGAAGCCCCGGUAAACGGCGGCCGUAACUAUAACGGUCCUAAGGUAGCGAAAUUCCUUGUCGGGUAAGUUCCGACCUGCACGAAUGGCGUAAUGAUGGCCAGGCUGUCUCCACCCGAGACUCAGUGAAAUUGAACUCGCUGUGAAGAUGCAGUGUACCCGCGGCAAGACGGAAAGACCCCGUGAACCUUUACUAUAGCUUGACACUGAACAUUGAGCCUUGAUGUGUAGGAUAGGUGGGAGGCUUUGAAGUGUGGACGCCAGUCUGCAUGGAGCCGACCUUGAAAUACCACCCUUUAAUGUUUGA
RNAcentral lists this ribosomal RNA (2105 nucleotides) under Salmonella enterica subsp. enterica serovar Tennessee. Its description in RNAcentral is "partial 23S ribosomal RNA". It matches the Rfam family "Bacterial large subunit ribosomal RNA", at positions 191 to 2217 of the family's 2925-position model. Lineage: Bacteria; Pseudomonadati; Pseudomonadota; Gammaproteobacteria; Enterobacterales; Enterobacteriaceae. The record is from RNAcentral.